RNAcentral lists this ribosomal RNA (403 nucleotides) under Verrucomicrobiota bacterium. Its description in RNAcentral is "Verrucomicrobia bacterium partial 16S ribosomal RNA". It matches the Rfam family "Bacterial small subunit ribosomal RNA", at positions 355 to 776 of the family's 1533-position model. The record is from RNAcentral. Lineage: Bacteria; Pseudomonadati; Verrucomicrobiota.
UGGGGAAUAUUGCACAAUGGGCGCAAGCCUGAUGCAGCAACGCCGCGUGAACGAUGAAGGUCUUCGGAUCGUAAAGUUCUGUUGCAGGGGAAGAUAAUGACGGUACCCUGUGAGGAAGCCCCGGCUAACUACGUGCCAGCAGCCGCGGUAAUACGUAGGGGGCUAGCGUUAUCCGGAUUUACUGGGCGUAAAGGGUGCGUAGGUGGUCUUUCAAGUCGGUGGUUAAAGGCUACGGCUCAACCGUAGUUAGCCUCCGAAACUGGAAGACUUGAGUGCAGGAGAGGAAAGUGGAAUUCCCAGUGUAGCGGUGAAAUGCGUAGAUAUUGGGAGGAACACCAGUAGCGAAGGCGGCUUUCUGGACUGCAACUGACGCUGAGGUGCGAAAGCGUGGGGAGCAAACAGG